CCUACGGGCGGCAGCAGUGGGGAAUAUUGGGCAAUGGGCGCAAGCCUGACCCAGCAACGCCGCGUGAAGGAAGAAGGCUUUCGGGUUGUAAACUUCUUUUCUGAGGGACGUAGAACGUGACGGUACCUCAGGAAUACGCCACGGCUAACUACGUGCCAGCAGCCGCGGUAAUACGUAGGUGGCAUGCGUUAUCCGGAUGUAUUGGGUGUAAAGGGCGUGUAGGCGGGAAGGCAAGUCAGAUGUGAAAACUCAGGGCUCAACCCUGAGCCUGCAUUUGAUACUGUUUUUCUUGAGUGCUGGAGAGGCAAGCGGAAGUCGGGGUGUAGCGGUGAAAUGCGUAGAUAUACCGAGGAACACCAGUGGCGAAGGCGGAUUGCUGGACAGUAACUGACGCUGAGGCGCGAAAGCGUGGGGAGCAAACAGGAUUAGAUACCCCAGUAGUC
Molecule: ribosomal RNA, 443 nt
Filed under: uncultured bacterium
Lineage: Bacteria
Description: partial 16S ribosomal RNA
Rfam family: Bacterial small subunit ribosomal RNA
Source: RNAcentral